RNAcentral lists this ribosomal RNA (969 nucleotides) under Agelas clathrodes. RNAcentral describes it as "SSU rRNA". It matches the Rfam family "Eukaryotic small subunit ribosomal RNA", at positions 34 to 1001 of the family's 1831-position model. The record is from RNAcentral. Lineage: Eukaryota; Metazoa; Porifera; Demospongiae; Agelasida; Agelasidae.
GUCUCAAGACUAAGCCAUGCAUGUCUAAGUAUAAACGCUUCUAUACUGUGAAACUGCGAAUGGCUCAUUAAAUCAGUUAUAGUUUAUUUGAUGGUUCCUUACUACUUGGAUAACCGUAGUAAUUCUAGAGCUAAUACAUGCAGAAAGUCCCGACUUCUUGGAAGGGAUGUAUUUAUUAGAUCCAAAACCAGCGCGAGUUUCCUUCGGGGGCUCGGUUGCAUGGUGAUUCAUGAUAACUGCUCGAAUCGCAUGGCCUUGCGCCGGCGAUGAUCCAUUCAAAUUUCUGCCCUAUCAACUUUCGAUGGCAAGGUAGUGGCUUGCCAUGGUGACAACGGGUGACGGAGAAUUAGGGUUCGAUUCCGGAGAGGGAGCCUGAGAAACGGCUACCACAUCCAAGGAAGGCAGCAGGCGCGCAAAUUACCCAAUCCCGACUCGGGGAGGUAGUGACAAUAAAUAACAAUGCUGGGCUAUCGUAGUCUGGCAAUUGGAAUGAGUACAAUCUAAACCCCUUAACGAGGAACAAUUGGAGGGCAAGUCUGGUGCCAGCAGCCGCGGUAAUUCCAGCUCCAAUAGCGUAUAUUAAAGUUGUUGCAGUUAAAAAGCUCGUAGUUGGAUUUCGGGGCAGCCCGGCUGGUCCGUCGCAAGGCGAGUACUGGUCGGCCGCCCUUCCUCUCGAAAGCCCCGACUGCUCUUCACUGUAGUGGUCGGGGAGUUCGGGACGUUUACUUUGAAAAAAUUAGAGUGUUCAAGGCAGGCCAUCGCCUGAAUACAUUAGCAUGGAAUAAUGGAAGAGGACCUCGGUCCUAUUUUGUUGGUUUCUAGGGCCGAAGUAAUGAUUAAGAGGGACAGUUGGGGGCAUUCGUAUUUAAUUGUCAGAGGUGAAAUUCUCGGAUUUAUGAAAGACGAACAACUGCGAAAGCAUUUGCCAAGGAUGUUUUCAUUAAUCAAGAACGAAAGUUAGGGGUUCGA